AGCUUUACGUAAACACCUAUUAAGCGGUCUAUUUCACGUUUUUUAACCACAUCCGCUUUGUGCAAGCUUUCUUGCGUGUUGCCGCUGGUCUAUGAACAAACACUCAAGAGUACUCAAGCCACGCAGAUGGUAUAGUCUUGUUAGAUUCCUCAACAGCACCGAGAGAUGUAAUCGAUACGCCCAAAAGUGAUUUCAUCACAUAAGCUAAAGACUUACUUCUUCUUAAGUCUGGAAUGAACCAAGCCUUGACAUACCUGGACAAAGAAGGAUCCGAAUAAGAUACUGAACAUCACCUUUCAGGGGGAAUGAAUUGAUGUUAGGAAGGCCGUUAAACAAGGUUAUUGCCACUUCAAUUUAACAUUGUUCUCAACUCUAUUAUGUUAAAUGCUACAAACUUCAAUAAAGGCAUAAGGGUGGGCUUUAAAGGUUGCUGGGGAACCUCGAUAGCGAUAUCUGUAUCCAUUCACACAGACACUGUGAUAUGUAUACAGAGGGAAAAGGAUAAAAAACGUGAAAUACAUACCCAUUGAAUCUUGUCGCACACCAACUGAGCCCAUAUUAGCACUGUGACUCAUGGAAAACGGUUGAGUCAUGCCGGGAUAUGAUGAGGCGCCCAUUUGAAAGAGAUCCUUUUAAAACAAA
This is a long non-coding RNA of Lucilia cuprina (Australian sheep blowfly), 642 nucleotides long. RefSeq lists it as uncharacterized. The record is from RefSeq and is a predicted model, not a curated record. NCBI's taxonomy places the organism in Eukaryota, Metazoa, Arthropoda, Insecta, Diptera, Calliphoridae. The transcript is spliced from 3 exons.